Molecule: ribosomal RNA, 2552 nt
Filed under: marine metagenome
Description: eukaryotic LSU rRNA
Rfam family: Eukaryotic large subunit ribosomal RNA (bases 329-2552)
Source: RNAcentral
UCUUGCAACGACGAAUGCCUUGGCUCGAGGAUCGUUGAAGGACGCAGCGAACUGUGUUACACAUCUCGAAUUGCAGAUUUCCGAGAAAGAUAAGGAUUCUGAACGCAUUCUGCGAGUUGCUUGCAACUCACGUAGCAGGCGGUGUCCGCAAUAUGCAGUCGUCCGAACUCCGAAGUUUGGAUGGUAUUCUCAUGUUGUCGCCAUUGGCGCCGACGUGAUCGUAGAAGUCAGCGUGCCUUCGUUUCGAGCACCAAUUGUGUUUUACGACCUCUUGUGUUUGAAUCGUUGGUUAGCAUCGAUUCGGGUAACCGAAUUACUUUUUGCGCACGUACACGACCUGUUACGGGAUUACCCGCUGAAUUUAAGCAUAUAAAUAAGUGGAGGAGUAAAAACUAACCAGGAUUCCCCCAGUAAUGGCGAAUGAACAGGGAAGAGCUCAAAUGCAUAACCGCAUUGCGGAAUGUGACCUCGUGUGCUCUCACCAGUUGCUUCCUCGUCGUUUGUUGUUUGGAAAAACACAUAACCACGGGUGAAAAUCCCAUCUGUCGGCCUACGGAAGCGGCGUACGGUGUGAGUUCCCAGAGUCGCGCACCCUGGGACGGGUGCGUAAAGUCGGUGGUAAGUUUCAUCGAAAGCUCAAUAUCUCCUCGAGUCCGAUAGCGAACAAGUACCAUGAGGGAAAGGUGAAAAGUACUUUGAAAAGAGAGUUAAACGUGCCUGAAAUCGUUGUGAAUCAAGCAAUUGGAAUCAACGUCGUUAAGGAAUUGGAGCGCAAUCUUGUUUCUCUGGAUCCCUUGAAGACAUCUGACACUGGUAGGUUAGUCGUUUAUACCGCCUUCUGCAAUCUCUCCGGAGUGAGCUUUUGGAAGUAACGACUUUUCUACUGGCGGUACACAUAUUAUUGGAUCGUUGUGGAUUUCUGAUUUCGUUAUUAGGUGCCGAACUUUCGUCCCUUUUGCGUUUGAUUACGGAAGCAGCUCGAAGUAGUAUGUGGUGUCAGAAUCGCAGGUUCCAAUUGACCCGUCUUGAAACACGGACCAAGGAGUUCAUACGCAUGUGCGAGUAUGUGACCUACAACGGUCAUAUGCGAAAUGAAAGUGAAAGGUAGAAUAUAAGCUCUACCGACCGACUACAUUCUUCGGCGUGAAGUUCGAGUAUGAGCGCAUGUGUUGGGACCCGAAAGAUGGUGAACUAUGCCUGAACAGGGUGAAGCCAGGGGAAACCCUGGUGGAGGCUCGUAGCGAUACUGACGUGCAAAUCGUUCGUCUAAUUUGGGUAUAGGGGCGAAAGACUAAUCGAACCAUCUAGUAGCUGGUUCCCUCCGAAGUUUCCCUCAGGAUAGCUGGCGUGUUAUGAAUAGUUUCACCAGGUAAAGCGAAUGAUUAGAGGUUCCGGGGAUGCUUCAUCCUCGGCCUAUUCUCAAACUUUCAAUGGGUGAGAUCCGCUGUUUGCAUUGUUCGAAUCAGUGGCUGCAAUGAUGCAUGCUCAGUGGGCCGUUUUUGGUAAGCAGAACUGGCGAUGAGGGAUGAACCUACCGUUGACAUAAGGUGCUAAAGUACUCGCUCAUCAGACACCACAAAGGGUGUUGGUUCAUUUUGACAGCAGGACGGUGGUCAUGGAAGUCGAAAUCCGCUAAGGAAUGUGUAACAACUCACCUGCCGAAUGGACUAGCCCCGAAAAUGGAUGGCGCUGCAGCGAGCGACCGAUAGUCAACCCGUCGUGGGAGAUUGUAUCCUCGACGGUGUAGGAGGGCGCAGAUGUUGUGACGCAUUUCGGGUUGUAAAACUCGAUGAAAUUGCAUCUGGUGCAGAUCUUGGUGGUAGUAGCAACUAUUCAACUGCGACUGUUGAAGACUGAAGUGGAGAAGGUUUCCAUGUGAACAGGAUUUGUACAUGGGUUAGCCGGCCCUAAGGGACUCCGGAGGACGGGUCGAGUGCUGCAUUGCAGCAAUGCCCGAAAGGUAAGGUGGUUAAUAUUCCUCCGCCCGACAGUGGAUAUUAUGUGGCAACACAAAAGAACUCGGGUUCGCGUGUGGGUACUCCGGGAAGUGUUUUCUUUUCUUCUCAACAAUCCUAGGCCCUGGAAUCAGCUUGUCAGGAGGUAGGGCUGUCAGAUUGGUGAAGUGCCUCGUCUUUUGAGCCACCUGGUGAGUCCUCACACGCCCAUGAAACCCCGGGGGAAAGUUUCAUUCGCACUCACGUCCGUAUCCAUAACCGCAUCAGGUCUCCAAGGUUAGCAGCCUCUGGUCUCUAGAAGAAGGUAGCUAAGGGAAGUCGGCAAAAUAGUUCCGUAACUUUGGGAAAAGGAAUGGCUCUGAGGGUUGGGUGCAGGGGUUCCUGAUCUGAACCACCAGCUGAGCAGGGGCUGCCGCCCGCUCUUCGGAGCGGAUGGCGGAACUUCGCGCGGCCAGUGCGGAGGGCCGGGAAUUGCUUCGGCAUUCUCUGCACGAUGAACAACCAUCUCAGAACUGGAGCGGACAAGGGGAAUCCGACUGUUUAAUUAAAACAAAGCAUUGCGAUACCCGCAAACGGUGUUGACGCAAUGUGAUUUCU